Molecule: small RNA, 518 nt
Filed under: Pongo abelii (Sumatran orangutan)
Lineage: Eukaryota; Metazoa; Chordata; Mammalia; Primates; Hominidae
Description: processed transcript
Source: RNAcentral
AGUAGCUGUCUAAAGGUGGAUGAUGCCCUCCAUGCGCUUUCAGCCUGCCUGGUGGCUGGGCAGUCGAAAACGUCGCCAUCUAUUAAGCUCCUUUGACUGGGAGCAGGUGACGGGUAGAGACGGAAGUUCUGGGAAUCACCGGAGAAGGGAGGGAAGGGCUCCUUCCGGCCGCCUGCUCCCGGAGUCUUCGUGGGGAACGUGAGGUGAGAGCAGGCCGUGAAGAGUAGACACGACUGAUGACUUCAGGGAUGCUACGACUUUCUCUCCUGCCUGGGCAAGCCUCGGUAGUAAGAUUUCCAUAGUCCGUUUUGUAUGUGGUUUUGCAGAAACAUACCCCCUCUCUGCCCCAGGUUCAGUCGUCAGUAUCCAGCUACUUCCAAAAGCCUUGCCCAUGCCUUCUGGGAUGUUCAGCAAAUGUAUAAACACUUAAUAUCCCGACAAAGCUUGGCCUCUUCCUUCCCAAAUUACUUCCCAGGCUAUGCACCCGUUUUUGUUAAUGCAACCAACUUGGAAACUUU